RNAcentral lists this non-coding RNA (26 nucleotides) under Rattus norvegicus (Norway rat). Lineage: Eukaryota; Metazoa; Chordata; Mammalia; Rodentia; Muridae. The record is from RNAcentral.
UGCUCCAUGGGAAGAGAGAGGCCUUC